AACGUACGCUGGCGGCACGCCUAACACAUGCAAGUCGAACGCAGUAGCAAUACUGAGUGGCAGACGGGUGAGUAACAUGUGGGAAUCUGCCUUGUGGUUCAGGACAACAUUGGGAAACCGAUGCUAAUACUGGAUAAGCCCUUACGGGGAAAGUUUUAAUGCCAUAAGAUGAGCCCGCAUUUGAUUAGUUAGUUGGUGAGGUAAUGGCUCACCAAGACAAUGAUCAAUAGCUGAUCUGAGAGGAUGAUCAGCCACACUGGGACUGAGACACGGCCCAGACUCCUACGGGAGGCAGCAGUGGGGAAUCUUGCACAAAGGAGGAAACUCUGAUGCAGCGAUGCCGCGUGAGUGAAGAAGGCCUUUGGGUUGUAAAGCUCUUUUGUAGGGGAAGAUAAUGACUGUACCCUAAGAAUAAGGUCCGGCUAACUUCGUGCCAGCAGCCGCGGUAAUACGAAGGGACCUAGCGUAGUUCGGAAUUACUGGGCGUAAAGCGCGCGUAGGCCGUUGAGUUAGUUAAUUGUGAAAUCCCAAAGCUUAACUUUGGAACUGCAAUUAAAACUGCUCGACUAGAGUUUGAUAGAGGAAAGCGGAAUACAUA
Molecule: ribosomal RNA, 598 nt
Filed under: uncultured bacterium
Lineage: Bacteria
Description: bacterial SSU rRNA
Rfam family: Bacterial small subunit ribosomal RNA
Source: RNAcentral